RNAcentral lists this ribosomal RNA (266 nucleotides) under uncultured bacterium. RNAcentral describes it as "partial 16S ribosomal RNA". It matches the Rfam family "Bacterial small subunit ribosomal RNA", at positions 524 to 788 of the family's 1533-position model. The record is from RNAcentral.
UACGUAGGGUGCGAGCGUUAAUCGGAAUUACUGGGCGUAAAGCGUGCGCAGGCGGCUUUGCAAGACAGAUGUGAAAUCCCCGGGCUUAACCUGGGAACUGCAUUUGUGACUGCAAGGCUAGAGUACGGCAGAGGGGGAUGGAAUUCCGCGUGUAGCAGUGAAAUGCGUAGAUAUGCGGAGGAACACCGGUGGCGAAGGCAACUCCCCGUGGGCCUGUACUGACGCUCAUGCACGAAAGCGUGGGGAGCAAACAGGAUUAGAACCGU